UAGGGAAUCUUCCACAAUGGACGCAAGUCUGAUGGAGCAACGCCGCGUGAGUGAAGAAGGUUUUCGGACCGUAAAGCUCUGUUGUUGGUGAAGAAGGAUAGAGGUAGUAACUGGCCUUUAUUUGACGGUAAUCAACCAGAAAGUCACGGCUAACUACGUGCCAGCAGCCGCGGUAAAUACGUAGGUGGCAAAGCGUUGUCCGGAUUUAUUGGGCGUAAAGCGAGCGCAGGCGGAAGAAUAAGUCUGAUGUGAAAGCCCUCGGCUUAACCGAGGAAUUGCAUCGGAAACUGUUUUCUUGAGUGCAGAAGAGGAGAGUAGAACUCCAUGUGUAGCGGUGGAAUGCGUAGAUAUAUGGAAGAAUACCAGUGGCGAAGGCGGCUCUCUGGUCUGCAACUGACGCUGAGGCUCGAAAGCAUGGGUAGCGAACAGGAUUAGAUACCCUGGUAGUCCAUGCCGUAAACGAUGAGUGCUAAGUGUUGGGAGGCUUCCGCCUCUCAGUGCUGCAGCUAACGCAUUAAGCACUCCGCCUGGGGGAGUACGACCGCAAGGUUGAAAC
Molecule: ribosomal RNA, 556 nt
Filed under: uncultured bacterium
Lineage: Bacteria
Description: partial 16S ribosomal RNA
Rfam family: Bacterial small subunit ribosomal RNA
Source: RNAcentral